This is a long non-coding RNA of Paramacrobiotus metropolitanus, 1291 nucleotides long. RefSeq lists it as uncharacterized. The transcript is spliced from 3 exons. NCBI's taxonomy places the organism in Eukaryota, Metazoa, Tardigrada, Eutardigrada, Parachela, Macrobiotidae. The record is from RefSeq and is a predicted model, not a curated record.
AUAGCCACAUCUGCAGUAUAAACGCCGCUCAACAUACGGUAAUAGUGUUACAAAGGUUACUCGUUUUCUUGCCACAUCUAAUAGUGAUUAAUAAGUACUUAAUCAUUUCCCUAUCAACGUAAACUUGCAGUUGACGAAAGAGUGUCUCAAAUUUCACACCUGCUUUGGAAUAAGAUACGACCUUGGAUAUCGAUAAUACUAAGUAAUUUAAUAACGAACAUUAAUUAUUCAUUAAUUUUACAACAUCCACUCUCAGUACAUACUUUGGCAGUGUGCUAAUAGCUUUUAGCAGACAUUAGCGCAGCCACUAAGUUUUUUUCAGGUCAUUUCAGGGUUUACGUUACUUUAAUUCCAAUUUUCGUAAUGCCCAUUCGACCGAAAUUAAUUACUUAAUUACGCACUUGACACGUCUCGUCAAUGUCUGUCACGCCCAUACUGCAUGUAAACUGGAUUACUGCGAUGGGAUUCUGGCAACAUGGCUACUGCUGCUGAAGAAAGGCGAUGUUCCGCGUGCUUCUUCCGAGAUCCUCGGCCCCACAUCAUAACAUGCAAGCAGUUAAAGUAGGCAGCGAACACUACGCUACAAUAACGACACAUUUUUCCUCCAGCUGUGUUGUGUGGGUCUCAAAACUUUCUUGGAAUCUACGAUGUGUCGUGUCUGCGAGCCCGACCGGGAAUUCUGCUGCCCCUACCUGGGACUCUUCCCUGAUCCUUCCUGAAGAUCCCUGACCUGUUCCCCUACCACGACGCAGACGACACCCAGUUCCAACGAUAUUGCAUUGUACGUACGCCUUUGGCUUGGUUAGUGUCCAGACGACAGCGCCAUUCGUCGGACCUUUCACAACUCCACCUAAUGGUUUCCUUGCAAUCAAAAAUUACGCCAACCAUUCUGCGCAGGAUCCUCACUCAGAAACACUAGCAGCGUCCCACAGUGGAUGAUCCGUCUGGAAUAUCUCCGAACUUUAAUUUCACGUAUUCUACAACGGGAUCUACUGACGCUUCGACGCAGCCGGAAAACGUGAUGACAAAAUGCGCGGUGUUGGAACUUCAUCAAAUUGGAUCCCAUUACAAGAUCGACCGAUCGAUGAAUCAUCGACUUCCAUCGCAAAACCAACCAGGAAUACUGGAGGAAAAGAAAGCUGCAUGAUUCAGUGUUCAUUACGAUACAAUAUUUGACCCAAGCUGUUUUUACGAAGCGUAUCAAUAAAUGCUUCCUCAUUGCUAAGCAACCGUACGAAAUCCGGCCUGCUGCGGCUCUUGCCGUUGUGCAAAAUCAAUAAAAACGUUGUAG